AGCAGCCGCGGUAAUUCCAGCUCCAAUAGCGUAUAUUAAAGUUGUUGCAGUUAAAAAGCUCGUAGUUGAAUUUCGGGGUCAGUAGGUUGGUCGUGCCACUGGUAUGUACUGGCCUUACUGAUUCCUCCUUCCUGAUGAACCGUAAUGCCAUUAAUUUGGUGUUGCGGGGAAUCUGGACUGUUACUUUGAAAAAAUUGAGUGUUUAAAGCAGGCUAACGCUUGAAUACAUUAGCAUGGAAUAAUGGAAUAGGACGUUCGAUCCUAUUUUGUUGGUUUCUAGGAUUGACGUAAUGAUUAAUAGGGAUAGUUGGGGGCAUUAGUAUUCAAUUGUCAGAGGUGAAAUUCUUGGAUUUAUUGAAGACUAACUACUGCGAAAAGCAUUUGCCAAGGAUGUUUUCAUUAAUCAAGAACGAAAGUUAGGGAUCGAAGACGAUCAGAUACCGUCGUAGUCUUAACCAUAAACUAUAGCCGACUAGGGAUCGGAUGAUGUUAAUUUUUANGUACUUCAUUCGGCNCCGUU
Molecule: ribosomal RNA, 520 nt
Filed under: uncultured Glomus
Lineage: Eukaryota; Fungi; Glomeromycota; Glomeromycetes; Glomerales; Glomeraceae
Description: SSU rRNA
Rfam family: Eukaryotic small subunit ribosomal RNA
Source: RNAcentral